Molecule: ribosomal RNA, 253 nt
Filed under: uncultured bacterium
Lineage: Bacteria
Description: partial 16S ribosomal RNA
Rfam family: Bacterial small subunit ribosomal RNA
Source: RNAcentral
UACAGAGGUGGCAAGCGUUGUUCGGAAUUACUGGGCGUAAAGGGCGCGUAGGCGGUUCGUCAAGUCCUGUGUGAAAUCCCCCGGCUCAACUGGGGAACUGCACAGGAAACUAGCGGGCUUGAGUUCGGGAGAGGGAAGCGGAAUUCCGGGUGUAGCGGUGAAAUGCGUAGAUAUCCGGAGGAACACCGGUGGCGAAGGCGGCUUCCUGGACUGACACUGACGCUGAGGCGCGAAAGCUAGGGGAGCAAACGGG